CCUUAACAAUCGGAGCACCUCCUCCUGCUGCCAGGAAUAUGCCCAAAAGAAAAGGCUCAGCCACAAACAAGGAACAGGCCCAAAGCAGAAAAAGAGCCCAGAAAUCAAAAGGUUCAGGCAGGAGCUCAGGACCAGACAGCAGCCCAGAAAGGAUGCAGAGACUUUUAG
Molecule: long non-coding RNA, 168 nt
Organism: Cyprinodon variegatus (sheepshead minnow)
Lineage: Eukaryota; Metazoa; Chordata; Actinopteri; Cyprinodontiformes; Cyprinodontidae
Exons: 3
Source: RefSeq, a predicted model, not a curated record